UUUUGGCGCUCGCGCAGCAGCAACAUUCUGCACCACACGCGGGUGAGAAGAGAACGAAGUUGCUUGCUCGCUUUCUCCGUCGUUCAUUCUACAUCAGCUUUUUAUUGAUUUGCAAGCCAAACAUGGGUAAAAAGCAGAAUGGCAAAGGGAAGAAGGAAGUAUUGGAGGCAGAGCCGCCAGAGGAGUAUGUUGUGGAGAAGGUGAUGGACCAACGCAUUGUCAACGGAAGGUGGAAUUCUUCCUCAAGUGGAAGGGAUUUACAGAGGCGGAUAACACUUG
Molecule: long non-coding RNA, 279 nt
Organism: Oncorhynchus gorbuscha (pink salmon)
Lineage: Eukaryota; Metazoa; Chordata; Actinopteri; Salmoniformes; Salmonidae
Exons: 3
Source: RefSeq, a predicted model, not a curated record